AUUGAACGCUGGCGGCAUGCUUUACACAUGCAAGUCGAACGAGUGGCGAACGGGUGAGUAAUAUAUCGGAACGUAGCGAGUAAUGGGGGAUAACCAAUCGAAAUAAUGGCUAAUACCGCAUAUUAUUCGAGCGGCCGAUAACUUAUUAGCUAGGUGGUGGGGUAAAGGCCUACCAAGGCGACGACCAGUAGCGGGUCUGAGAGGACGAUCAGCCACACUGGAACUGAGACACGGUCCAGACUCCUACGGGAGGCAGCAGUGGGGAAUUUUGGACAAUGGGGGCAACCCUGAUCCAGCCAUGCCGCGUGUAUGAAGAAGGCCUUCGGGUUGUAAAGCACUUUUGUUAGGGAAGCGUUACCUAAAGAAUAAGCACCGGCUAACUACGUGCCAGCAGCCGCGGUAAUUC
Molecule: ribosomal RNA, 406 nt
Filed under: uncultured bacterium
Lineage: Bacteria
Description: partial 16S ribosomal RNA
Rfam family: Bacterial small subunit ribosomal RNA
Source: RNAcentral